Molecule: long non-coding RNA, 724 nt
Filed under: Rattus norvegicus (Norway rat)
Lineage: Eukaryota; Metazoa; Chordata; Mammalia; Rodentia; Muridae
Description: long non-coding RNA NONRATT002002
Source: RNAcentral
ACUUGCUUAGUUAGAGUCACACCAAGGUAUUUUAUGUUAUCUGUGACUAUUGUGAAGGGUGUCAUUUCCCUAAUUUCUUUCUCAGCCUGUUUAUCCUUUGAGUAGAGGAAAUCUACUGAUUUGUUUGAGUUAAUUUUAUACCCAGCCACUUUGCUGAAGUUGUUCAUCAGGCUUAGGAGUUCUCUGGUGGUAUUUUGGGAUCACUUAACUAUACUAUCAUAUCAUCUGCAAAUAGUGAUAUUUGACUUUUUACUUUCCAGUUUGUAUCUAUUUGACCCCUUUUCGUUGACCUAUUGUUAUGGCUAGGACUUCUAGUACAGUAUUGAAUUGGUAUGGAGAGAAUAGGCAUCCUUAUCUAGUUCCUGAUUUUAGUGGGAUUGCUUCAAGUUUCUCUCCAUUUAGUUUCAUGUUGGCUACUUUCUUGUUGAAUAUUGCUUUUACUAUGAUUAGGUAUGUGCCUUGUAUUGCUGGUCUUUCCAGGACUUUUAACAUGAAGGGGCGUUGAAUAUUGUCAAAUGCUUUCUGAGCAUCUAAUGAAAUGAUCAUGUGGUUUUUUUCUUUGCGUUGGUUUAUAUAGUGGAUUACAUUGAUGGAUUUCUUUAUAUUGAACCAUCCCUGCAUCCCUGGGAUGAUGCCUACUUGAUCAUGAUGGAUGGUCAUUUUGAUGUGUUCUUGGAUUCGGUUUGUAAGAAUUUUAUUGAGUAUUUUUGCAUCGAUAUUCAUA